CCGCUGCUUCUCUCAGGUUUCCAGGGAGAGGGGUCUGUAGGGACAGCACAUCAGUCGGGCAAAUGAGAAGCCCAGGUGCACAGAAUAGGAGGGCAGGCCAUUCUCUUCUCUGCUUUCCUCCAGUGCCUUCUGAACAAGCCGGCCUUUUCACCUGUGUUCUUCACCUAUCCAAGUCCUUCCUGUCCCCAGGGGUCUUGGCUUUCCCACUCCCCAGCCUUCUCAACCGGCUCAAACUGGCAUGAGCAUUUUCUGUCUCGAGGAAGGUCCUCUCCUGGCAAUGUAUUCUUUCUUUUUAAUGCUCCAGUUCUCUCUUUCCCUUCUGAUCCUGAUUCCUCAGAUGUGUAGGCUGUGCGACUUCCCUGGUGGUGCAGUAGUGAAGAAUCUGCCUGCCAAUGCAGGGGACACAGGUUUGAUCCCUGCUCAGAGAAGAUCCCACAUGCCGCAGAGCAACUAAGCCUGUGCGCCACAACUACUGAGCCUGCACUGUGGACCCCGCGAGCCACAACUACUGAGCCUGUGUGCCUAGAGCCCAUGCUCCGCAACAAGAGAAACCACCGCAGUGAGAAGCCCGUGCACCGCAAGAAAGAGCAGCCCCCGCUCGCCGCAACUAGAGAAAGCCCGCGCGCAGCAACGAAGACCCAACGCAGCCAAAAAUCAAUCAGUCAAAUAAAUAAAUUUAAAAAAAAAACAGCUGCAACAAUGUACUGAAAGUAACUACUAAGUGUAUGCUCUCAGACACUAGAUCUUGAGCAACAACUUAUUUUAGAGAAUUUGGAUCUUUCCAGGGAAUCCCUUCAAUCUGCCGAGGUCCUGCGAGAGGAAGCCUGUGGCAUCCUGGAUGAAAUGAACCACAAACUGCGUCUGGGAGCCAUUCGGUUCUGUGCCUUUGCCCUGAGCAAAAUAUUUAAACAAAUUUUCUCGAAAGUGUGUGUAAAUGAAGAAGGUAUUCAGAAACUACAGCGAGCCAUCCAGGAGCAUCCUGUUGUUCUGUUGCCCAGUCAUCGAAGUUACAUUGACUUUCUGAUGCUGUCUUUUCUUUUAUACAACUACGACUUACCUGUGCCGGUCAUAGCAGCAGGAAUGGACUUCCUAGGAAUGAAGAUGGUUGGUGAGCUGCUGCGAAUGUCGGGGGCGUUCUUCAUGCGGCGGACCUUCGGUGGCGAUCAGCUCUACUGGGCGGUGUUCUCUGAAUAUGUGAAAACUAUGUUACGGAAUGGUUAUGCUCCUGUUGAAUUUUUCCUCGAAGGGACAAGAAGCCGCUCCGCCAAGACACUGACUCCAAAAUUUGGUCUUCUGAAUAUUGUGAUGGAACCGUUUUUUAAAAGAGAAGUUUUUGAUACCUACCUUGUUCCAAUCAGCAUCAGUUACGAUAGGAUAUUGGAAGAAACUCUGUAUGCUUAUGAGCUCCUAGGGGUUCCUAAGCCGAAAGAAUCUACAACUGGAUUGUUGAAAGCCAGGAGGAUUCUCUCUGAAAAGUUUGGAAACAUUCAUGUGUACUUCGGAGACCCUGUGUCACUUCGAUCUCUGGCAGCUGGGAGGAUGGGUCGGAGCCCGUAUAACUUGGUUCCAAGAUAUAUUCCUCAGAAACAGUCGGAGGACAUGCAUGCCUUUGUCACUGAAGUUGCCUACAAAAUGCAACUCCUGCAAAUUCAAAACCUGGUUCUGAGCCCGUGGCCACUAAUAGUUGCUGUUCUGCUUCAGAACCGGCCAUCCAUGGACUUCGAUGCCCUAUUGGAAAAGACUUUAUGGCUGAAAGGCUUAGCCCAGGCCUUCGGGGGCUUUCUCACUUGGCCUGAUAAUGAACUUGCUGAAGAAGUGGUCCAGUCCAGCCUUCUUCUGCAUUCCAACAUCGUCAGCCUCGUCAAAGACCGGGUGACUCUGAAAGUGGACUCUGGAGGCCCAGAAGUGGUCGAUGGGCUUGUCUUCCAGCACGUCACUCUGCUCGUGUGCUCGGCUUACAGGAACCAGCUGCUCAACGUUUUUGUCCGUCCUUCCUUAGUAGCUGUGGCAUUGCAGAUGACGCCUGGGUUCAGGAAAGAGGAUGUCUACAGUUGCUUUCGCUUCCUAUGCAAUGUUUUUUCAGAUGAGUUCAUCUUUCUUCCAGGAAAUGCGCUAAAGGACUUUGAAGAAGGCUGUUACCUGCUUUGUAAAAGUGAGGCCACACAGGUGACGACAAGGGACAUCCUAGUUACAGAAAAAGGAAAUACUGUGCUAGAGUUUUUAAUAGGACUCUUUAAACCUUUUGUGGAAUCUUACCAGAUAAUUUGCAAAUACCUCUUGAACGAAGAAGAAGGCCACUUCACUGAGAAACAGUACUUGGUGAACGUUAGAAUAUUCACAGGUCAGCUUCUCCAUCAAGGUGCCUCACAGUGUUACGAUGUAUUAUCCUCUGAUGUACAAAAAAAUGCCUUAGCAGCUUUUGUGAGGCUCGGUGUGGUGGAGAAGAAGAAGGUAAAUAAUGAUUAUAUAUUUACUGUGAAUGAACCUGCCACAGCAAAGUUAGAAGAAAUGCUUGAAUACGUGACCUUGAAACUCGAUUUUGAAUUUGGUGAGAGGGGCAUAAACUAAAACAAACCCCGAAGCCCUCGUGAGGACGACGGGAUUGAGUUCUUCCUCUCAGAAGGCAGAUACGUGGUAAGACACCAGUAGGAAAACCGGCAACUGCAAAGCUUUAAUGAUUGCCAAACGGUUACGGAAAAAUUGGUCAUAUAACUACUGUCAUCCAAGGACUCGUAUUACAACAAAGAAGGAAGCAAAGGAAGAGACCAUCUUCUCGUCCUUCAUAAGGCGUCAAGAACGGCGGGCUUAGUAGAGAGGAAGAGUGACCAAUUUAAGCAAUCCGUGAAAUCUCCACGUUGGUUAAAAAGGCAUUUGUGUCCAACUCCGUGUGUGUUUUAAAAUAAAACAGGCUUUCGGAAACAUGUUUGGAAAAACAAA
Orcinus orca (killer whale) is the source of this 2937-nucleotide RNA transcript. It is a transcript of the gene named glyceronephosphate O-acyltransferase, with no coding region annotated. The transcript is spliced from 16 exons. NCBI's taxonomy places the organism in Eukaryota, Metazoa, Chordata, Mammalia, Artiodactyla, Delphinidae. The record is from RefSeq and is a predicted model, not a curated record.